RNAcentral lists this transfer RNA (63 nucleotides) under Cyrtorhinus lividipennis. Its description in RNAcentral is "tRNA-His". Lineage: Eukaryota; Metazoa; Arthropoda; Insecta; Hemiptera; Miridae. The record is from RNAcentral.
GUUUAAGUAGUUUAUAUUAGAAUAAUAACUUGUGGUGUUAUAGGAGUAUUUUUAUCUUAAAUC